This 76-nucleotide transfer RNA is filed under the name Neurospora tetrasperma FGSC 2508. Its description in RNAcentral is "tRNA-Tyr (GTA) (tRNA-Tyr-GTA-3-1)". It matches the Rfam family "tRNA". From Rfam's summary of the family: Transfer RNA (tRNA) molecules are approximately 80 nucleotides in length. Their secondary structure includes four short double-helical elements and three loops (D, anti-codon, and T loops). The record is from RNAcentral. RNAcentral also lists the same sequence under 1 other name. Lineage: Eukaryota; Fungi; Ascomycota; Sordariomycetes; Sordariales; Sordariaceae.
GCGCGGUUGGUGUAGUGGCCAAGCACAUCACUCUGCUUGUAGUGCAAAGACGUGGGUUCGAAUCCCGGACUGCGUA